RNAcentral lists this ribosomal RNA (520 nucleotides) under uncultured bacterium. RNAcentral's name for it is "bacterial SSU rRNA". It matches the Rfam family "Bacterial small subunit ribosomal RNA", at positions 120 to 674 of the family's 1533-position model. The record is from RNAcentral.
GGGAACGUACCUUUUGGUUCGGAACAACACAGGGAAACUUGUGCUAAUACCGGAUAAGCCCUUACGGGGAAAGAUUUAUCGCCGAAAGAUCGGCCCGCGUCUGAUUAGCUAGUUGGUAGGGUAACGGCCUACCAAGGCGACGAUCAGUAGCUGGUCUGAGAGGAUGAUCAGCCACAUUGGGACUGAGACACGGCCCAAACUCCUACGGGAGGCAGCAGUGGGGAAUAUUGGACAAUGGGGGCAACCCUGAUCCAGCCAUGCCGCGUGAGUGAUGAAGGCCCUAGGGUUGUAAAGCUCUUUUGUGCGGGAAGAUAAUGACGGUACCGCAAGAAUAAGCCCCGGCUAACUUCGUGCCAGCAGCCGCGGUAAUACGAAGGGGGCUAGCGUUGCUCGGAAUCACUGGGCGUAAAGGGCGCGUAGGCGGCCGAUUAAGUCGGGGGUGAAAGCCUGUGGCUCAACCACAGAAUUGCCUUCGAUACUGGUUGGCUUGAGACCGGAAGAGGACAGCGGAACUGCGAGU